UAGUAAUAAAAGCAAACCUAUCGAAGGAUGGGGACACAAGGCUACAGGGGUUUCAGCGAAUGAGACUCGCUAUGCCAGCCAGCUACCAAG
This 90-nucleotide non-coding RNA is filed under the name Paenibacillus popilliae. Its description in RNAcentral is "c-di-GMP sequence". It matches the Rfam family "c-di-GMP-I riboswitch aptamer". Rfam says of the family: GEMM was predicted in a large-scale screen for bacterial structured RNA regulatory elements. Genes associated with GEMM are involved in a diverse array of functions, including chemotaxis regulation, signal transduction, secretion and chitin. RNAcentral also lists the same sequence under 1 other name. The record is from RNAcentral. Lineage: Bacteria; Bacillati; Bacillota; Bacilli; Caryophanales; Paenibacillaceae.